UACUAGAGUAGCACUCGCAUAUCAAUAAGCGGAGGAAAAGAAACUAACAAGGAUUCCCCUAGUAACGGCGAGUGAAGCGGGAAGAGCCCAAAUUUGAAAUCUUAAAGGGUUUCCCUUUACGAAUUGUAGUUUAAAGAAGUGUUUUCUGUUGAGGUUUUGGUAAAAGUUCUUUGGAAUAGGACAUCAUAGAGGGUGAGAAUCCCGUAUUUGACCUUUACUUUCAACUUUGUGAUACACUUUCAAAGAGUCGGAUUGUUUGGGAAUGCAGUCCAAAAUGGGUGGUAAAUUUCAUCUAAAGCUAAAUAUUGGCGAGAGACCGAUAGCGAACAAGUACCGUGAGGGAAAGAUGAAAAGAACUUUGAAAAGAGAGUUAAACAGUACGUGAAAUUGUCAAAAGGGAAGCGUUUGACACCAGUGUUGUUUUUCUGAAAAUCAAUUAAAGAACUGUUUAUGCUAAGUUGUUUAGACUUUAUCAGCUAACUGUUUAGUUUUGAGCUUUUCUUUAAUGCACUUUUCAGUUAACAAGUCAACAUCAAUUUCUUUUGCUGUAAAAAAGCUUGAGGAAGGUGGCUUGAGAUUCGUCUUAAGUGUUUAUAGCCUCUUGCCUAUGCAGUCGGAGAGAUUGAGGUCUGCAGCGUAGAUCCUUCGGGGCUAAAUGCAUUUGUGCUAAGUUAUAGCAUUUUAUAGACAACUUGUUGACUAUGAUUUGUCUUGUAGCUUACUCGCUUAUGUUAUUUUACCUACGCUUAGGAUGUUGAGCGCAUGUCUCUCUCU
This 774-nucleotide ribosomal RNA is filed under the name uncultured Neocallimastigales. Its description in RNAcentral is "partial large subunit ribosomal RNA". It matches the Rfam family "Eukaryotic large subunit ribosomal RNA", at positions 20 to 616 of the family's 3401-position model. Lineage: Eukaryota; Fungi; Neocallimastigomycota; Neocallimastigomycetes; Neocallimastigales. The record is from RNAcentral.